GACGAACGCUGGCGGCGUGCUUAACACAUGCAAGUCGAACGCUGAAGCUUGGUGCUUGCACUGGGUGGAUGAGAGGCGAACGGGUGAGUAAUACGUGAGUAACCUGCCCUUGACUCUGGGAUAAGCCUGGGAAACUGGGUCUAAUACUGGAUACGACAUGCCACUGCAUGGUGGUGUGUGGAAAGGGUUUUACUGGUUUUGGAUGGGCUCACGGCCUAUCAGCUUGUUGGUGGGGUAAUGGCCUACCAAGGCGACGACGGGUAGCCGGCCUGAGAGGGUGACCGGCCACACUGGGACUGAGACACGGCCCAGACUCCUACGGGAGGCAGCAGUGGGGAAUAUUGCACAAUGGGCGGAAGCCUGAUGCAGCGACGCCGCGUGAGGGAUGACGGCCUUCGGGUUGUAAACCUCUUUCAGCACGGAAGAAGCGAGAGUGACGGUACGUGCAGAAGAAGCGCCGGCUAACUACGUG
Molecule: ribosomal RNA, 472 nt
Filed under: uncultured bacterium
Lineage: Bacteria
Description: partial 16S ribosomal RNA
Rfam family: Bacterial small subunit ribosomal RNA
Source: RNAcentral